This is an RNA transcript of Vicia villosa (hairy vetch), 12036 nucleotides long. RefSeq lists it as uncharacterized. The record is from RefSeq and is a predicted model, not a curated record. The transcript has 2 exons. NCBI's taxonomy places the organism in Eukaryota, Viridiplantae, Streptophyta, Magnoliopsida, Fabales, Fabaceae.
UUAGGAGUUUUUUAUUAUUAUUAUGUUAUUUGGGCAAUAGGUCCAUUAGGAAUAAAAAGAAAACCUAAUUGGUGCAAUAUAAAAGAGGUGCAUAAUCCUAUUUACAAAGAGGAGGCCAUCACUAAUCCUUAUUUCUUUGACACAAUAUUCACUGACCAAACGGUUGUUUGCCCUGUGAACGAUUUUCUAACCUGCUGUGAAAAUCAUUCACUCUAUCCCCAAAUGCCUAUCUCUAUUUCCCAACCUACAAACCAAUAAACAACAACAACAACAUUCACUAAAAAAGCCAUCUCUGACACUGUAACAUUGAAACUCCAUGUUAAUUGAAGUCCACAAUCAGGAAAAAAGAAGCAGAGGAAGAACAAAGGUGAAUCGGUCUCCCUCAAACGUUGCAAUAAGCUUGCCGACAACCACAAACAUUCGAAUCCGCCGCGUAGGCUCAUCAGAUCCACGUUGCCGGAACUCACACCUCCGACCCUUCAAUCCGCAACGACCACCGUGAACAUCUCCGCCCUCAAUCUCCGUUCGAGAAUCCUUCACGCAACAACAGCAACACUCUUCACACCAAAUCAUCAACUAAGGUAUGAGCCAACACAAUAUAACUUGUACAUGUUUUUUUGAUUUUUUGUUCUUACAGGAAAAUAGAGAAACUUGAAAGAAACAAUGAUAAAGAGGGAGAGAGAACCCGGAUCUACAAAGCAGCAUCCGCGAGCCACCGCAUUGCACCACUCUCCGCCGGAAACGUGCCGACGAGUUCCAUUCACUAUGAACCACAACGCCCCGAUCUACCUCCGCCGUCAAACUGUUUUCAUCCUCUUUGCAAGACCGUCGGUAUGUUUUCUCUUGAUUUCUUUGUUACUCUAAAAAAACUGAGUUAAAAGAGAUGUGUAUGGAUUCUUUGUUUUGGAUCUGCAAUUCAUAAAAGGAAAGUUGAGUUUUCUGUUUUUAUUUUUCUUUUUUUGAAAAUGUUUGAAUUGAUUUCGUGGGGAUAACAGAGAGUAUGCUUUUCGGUAUUAAUUUUCUAUAAAAAACGGUUCAACAUGUGAGAAGGAUAAAAUAAUACAUCUUUAUUUUCGGUUUACUUUUUAUGGUUUUUUAUUGCUUUGAAUGAUAGUCCAACGUGUACCAUUGCUGGUGUGAUUUUAAGGAUAAAAAUGGAUUGUCGUUAUGAUUUCUAGGUAAGUUUCAUCUACAUGUAUAUUAUCAUAUAUUAAGUUGUCAAUUGAAUCUAAAGUGAGCAAUAUAAUGGUAGGCUGAAUUCUAAACACUAACAUGAUCUUUUUAUUUAGAGAAAAGAUACACAUGUUAUGUUAAAAUUAAUUUAGGAUAGUUUCUUUGUUUUCAUUAACCAUUAAUUAAUUAAAAUAAUAUUAAUUCAAAUAAACUUAUUUUGCUAAAUGGUUUUAACCAUCUUAUUGGUUAUGAUGAUUAGUAUAUUUCUCCUUAUCAAUUCGUUAUUAUUUGUAAUCGAAACUAUCGGUUAUGAGGGAUAACGAUAAAUUAAUAAUUAAAAUACAUCAAUUUGCUAAAAGUGAUAAUCGAAUCAAUCGAUUAGAAUUGCCAGCAAUCCUUUACUAAUCUGUUAACUAUGGUGAUCGAAUCUAUUGAUCAUUGCGGUUAAUGGUAAACAAAUUAAAAUAAGGGUUGUACGCCCAAACACACUAAACCACGUAACUACAGAUUUUCAUCUUUUCAAACACUGCGAUGUUCAAACUGCGAUAAGGUAAUUCAAAAUACCUUCGAACAUUCGCAUUUCAAAACAAUUUCAAAACAACUUCACGCAAUCUCUAUAAUCAAAUUCUAAGGCGUACAAUCAUGUGCCCGAACUACGUAGACUCUGAUCCUCCAUAAGGAGGUACGUAGGCACUUGGCAACAAGGCGAGUCCCCCUCUUCCAAACUCUAAUCAUGUUCAAAUAAUUAGCCUUUAACUCUAUUUACUGUCUGUCAUCUUUCUUUAUCUUUUGCCACAAACCUUCAUCUUUGCACUGUUAACCUUUAGGAAAGGGUUUUGGGUGCCUAACACCUUCCCUCGACCUGAAUAUAGUAUCUUACCCCGAAUCUCAUAACUGCGUAGGGUUUCCUAUUCGCCCUUCAGAAUAGGUGGCGGCUCUCUAAGUUUCAAUUUUAGGGCAGGUUGCUACACCAAUCAUCAUCCAUGAUCUGAAACACCAAAAUCACUAAGCUUGAUCCUCACUUGAACCAUACUGCAGAUCGAGCAUCACCAACUAGUCCAGAGGUUUUCAAUUCAUGCCAAGCAUCCAAACAUGUUCCAUAAGGUCCAUUGAAGGUGUUCAGAUCAAGAAACAACAUCUGGAAUCCCUCAUUUGCAGAAUUCGAUCCUCAGUUGUGCCGUUUUUAAGGUAAGCUCUCUUGAACUUCAAACUCUAUUCUCCAUGCAUCAUAAAUGAAAUAUGAACAUACCAUCUUGUUUCUGCACUAUCACUGAUCAAUAGCCCUCAAUCAAUUUCACAAUUCAUCAAUCAUACACGAUUUCAUGUUCAAAUUCAGAAUUAGGGUUCUUCGUGUUCAUCAGAAAAUUAACCACCUUAGAGCAAAAAUAAAUGAAAUUAAAGAUCACCAUCAUGUUCCUUGUGAAAAAACGAGUAGGAUAGGCUAUUCACUUGAUCAAAAUGAUUCAGGUUUCAGAUUUUUCAAAUUCAAGUUAGGGUUGUGUUCUUGGCGCCAGAUUUUGAAACUGAAAUUAGGAAUUGAUUCAAAAAUAUAAUUCAUUCGUUGCAAACGUUAAACAGACCACGCGCGUGGUCCAAUUGGCAAGUGUUUUGGUUGGUAACCUUGAGUGCGUGGGUUCAAGUCCUUGUGGUGACAAAACCUAAUUUUUUAAUUCUAUUUUUCUUAUUUUUCUUCACAACUUCAUCAAUUAAUUUAACCAAUCAAAUUAACUCAUUUUUAUGUAUUUUAUGUAUUUUAAAAAAAAUCGCAAAAAUAUAUUUAUUUAAUACAUUUUUGAUUAAGUUUAAAAUGACAUAUUUUUAAGUGUUUUUAAAUACUUUAAAUAUUGUUUUUCAUUUGAUUUUUCAAACUUAAUCACUUGCAAAUAUUUUGUGAUCAAACCCUAAUUAUUUAGGUCUUAAUUAAGCAUGAAAUUUGUUUUUUAUCUUAAUUAAGUUGACUUUUGUCAAAAUUCAAACCGUUUUAAAACAAACGAUCAUAGUUUUUCAAAACGAUAAACCUUUUCUUUUUUGGUUUUGUUUUCAAAAGAAACUAUUGAUUAAAUCUUUUUUUGGAUUGAUCAAUUGAUUCCCAAAAAAAUACCAUGGGCCUCCAUGUAGGUAUAAGUCCCAAGCUCCUUUUGUACAUACCCUUUCCUUUUUUUUUUGUACAGAAAAUUUCUUUUAAAACAAAGACUUUCAAAUAGUUUUUCAAACGACGAAACCUUGCGUCUGUUAAUAAAACAAUCAACCAUGUUUUAUAAAAUAAAACACGAGCCUCCACAUAGGUAUAAGUCUCAUUCCCGUACAUAAAAUUAGGUAUUUCAUUGUACAUUCACCUUUUUGUACAUACCUCGAUCAGUUUAUAUUUAACUUCGAAUAACAAAUCAAAAAUGAAGAUUUUCUUUAAAUCUUCCCAAAAAAAUACCAUGGGCUCCAUGUAGGUAUAAAUCCCAAGCCCUUUUGUAAAUACUUGUUUACAUAGCUUUUGAAUAAACUCAAGUGGGUCUCUCCCCGAGUAUAAGUCCCGAGCCCCCGUGUAUACAAAUGGAUCAUGCAUACAGGUAUAUUUCCUUCAUAAACUCCAUUAUAUACACACACUUUGUCAUACAUAUGUGCUUGUUCAUACUUGUUCAUAUUUGUUCAUGUACUUGUUCAUAUUUGUUCGUACUUGUUCAUAUUUGUGAUUGUGUUAUAUAUAUGCUUGUUCAACUUAGUACAAUACUAGGUUCCCCAUAGCCUCCUAUUGGGCUUCGUGCAAAGAAUCUCCCUAAUUUAGGUUAGGACAUAGAGUAUGGUUUCCCGGUGAAAUCGCUCUAAGAGCUCAAACCAACUAUACCAUGCCUCCCCUUGGGCUUUGUACAAACGAGUGACCCUCCCAUAGCCUCCUCUUGGGCUUACAAUGCAAGGACCCUCGAUUGUCCCUCACAUAGCCUCCUCUUGGGCUUACAAUGCAAGUACCCUCAGAUAGCCUCCUCUUGGGCUUCGUACAAGGACCCACGGGCUUCUUAUAAGCAUCCCCAAUAUCCAAAUCAAAUACCUUAGGAGAUUAGACAUUUAUCAUCUCUAUGAUAGGAGUAUCUCUUCUAUAUCAUCACAAUCAAUCAAUCAAUCAAACUUUUUUGCCACAAGGCUGGCUAAUCAAUCAAACCUUUUUGCCACCAUACUGGCUGAUUAAUCAAAGUUUUUGUCCCAAGGCUGACUUCAUUGAAACUUUUGCCACAAGGCUGGCUGAUUAAUCAAAACUUUUUGUCACAAGGCUGACUUCAUUGAAAGUUUUUGCCACAAGGCUGGCUAAAAAGCAUCUUUAUCAUUCUAAGCACCAUAAGUGGCAUGGCCCAGGGCUUAUAAUGAAAAGAUUUUCAAACAAAAACAAACAGAUGUAUGUGAUGAUAUAGAUUAGAUACAUCGAACAUUUAGAUGACAUUUGUCUCUUAUCCUUUGCUUCCACUAGCAUAAGUGGGAACUACGAUUGCUCUGACUUUCUCAACAUCCCUUUGAGAAUACGUAGGCACAAGGUCGUAUCUUUGGCGAGCAAAACUUCUCCCUCAAACCACUCAAACCUUAGCACCCGUAGACCCGAGCUACAGAUGCUCUGAUUCCCUCUAAGGCAUAUGUAUGCAGAGGAUCGUGAUGAUCUUUGCGAGCAUAAUCAAACAAACACCCUAGGUCCCACCUAUUUCACAACAGAACCUCCACCAUAACAUAGAAUGAAACAAACACAACAAAAAAAAGCCUAUAGAGUACUAUAGAUACGUUGGGUGCUAAUACCUUCCCUUCGUAUAACCAACCCUCUUACCCAAGAUCUCUCCCCCCACUUUUAAGGUUAUUGCAGCUUUUUUCCUUUUCCUACUUUGGAAAUAAUAAAAAGUUUGGUCGAAACAAAGAAAAAUCAUUUUUAUGAGCACUCGAGCCCAAAGAAGGCAUCAGGUGUCUCAUCCCGAAAAAAGAUACGAUUUUUCCCCGCGACAAUCCCUACAGAAUUUGGGCGAAGAUCCUUCUGGGUUGCAUCUACCAUAGAAAGGCAACUGUUUCUCCUAACUAUGUCAACAAGGACCAACAAUACAUUUUGCAUUGUAUUGGUAAACAAGAGAAGGUGGAUCUUCCUUUCAUCAUCGUCAAUCACACGUGGAAUCGUGUAAGGGACUCUAGAGAGCAAGUCAGAUUGAAGUCUACCAAGUACAAAAGGAACAUCAUUCCUUUUGGAAGGAUAAUUACUGAUAUUCUGGUUCAGACUGGAUUAGUUGGUGAUCUGGAAAAAGCUGGAAUUAUUAAAGAUUCUUUUGCAAUGUGUGGAAGUACCAUGAAUGCCCACACUGUGAAAAAGAUGAAUCUUAUUGAGACAAUUGUUGCUACUCCCAGCGUGGAUCAUGAAAUCUUGACCAGAAAGGCUCCUGCUCUGGCUGAUUUUGAACUGUUUUUCAAAAAUGAGCAUCCUAACAUUGUUGUUAGCUAUCUGAAACUAUGUAAAGAGGAAGGAUCUGCGUAUGAUCCUGUGUGGAUAAGCAACAAAGAGCUUCUCAUUAUAGCUGACCAAGUACCAGAAAAAGAGGAAAAGAAAAAGAAGAAGAAAAGAAAGCAAGACCAGCAAGAAGGAAGGAAAGAUAAGAAGGAAAAGAAAGAAGAGCAGAAAGAAGUUAAUCAAGAAAAGGAAGAAGAGAAGAAAGAAGAGAAGAAGGAAGAAAAGAAGGAGAAAAAGAGAAAGACUGUUGGUGAUGGACCUUCCAAGCCUCAGAAGAAGAAGAAGAAAUCUCCAGGUAUUACUAUUUCUGAGCCUGUUUCUGUUCCUGUUUUAAUAUCUAAACCUAUAUCAACAGAAGCUCUACCAGAAAAAUUACUAAAAAAAGCCCCAGAAAUUCCUCCUCAAACCACCAAAAUUUCUAACCCUCCAUCUUCUGCUUCCCUCAAGUCUAAAGGAAAACAACCUAUGCUUGAUUCUGAACAAAUUCUUGAUCCAAAACCUUUAAACACCAUCUUCCCAGAUGAAGAUAUUUUUGUUUCUGCUCAACCUCAACCCCCACCUUAUGAAUCUCAACUUCAACCUUCUGACCCCCAACAUGUUGACACUCCAGUGUUCUUCCACCUCUCCUCUCCAGAAUCAUCAUUUUCUGAAUCUUUCAUUCGCCUCAUGCACUCUCUUAAACCCUAUAAUCCAUCUUCCGACCCCAUUGUUGUAGUCUUUGAAUCAGACAAUGAAGAUGAAUCGUCUAUUCAACCAUCCUCUUCAAACACUUCUUUGUUUGAUAGAGUUUCUGACCCUUACUCCAUCUCUUAACCAGAAUCUCCAAUCACCCGCUUCAAAAUUAACCCUCCAAAAUCUUCUGUUGAUAUUCGUUUUGAAUUAUUAAAAUAUAAGUUCAGAACAGGGUUAGAUUAUCUGAAGGUUGCCCAUGACUCCAAGUUGGAUCAAGUGGCUGCUAAAAAGCUCUGGACGACUUUUCUUGAGGAUGUGCAAGCAGAGUUUCUGGACCUCCAGAAGGAUUGCCUUGCCGCUGCUCCUGGUCCUGCUGGACUCGCUUUGGAGUACAUUGCUGGCAUCUACUCUCAUCCCAUUUCUAACUGGAAGAUUCUGGAAGAAAAACCCUUUGUGGAUGAAAUGGUAGUGGAAAAUCCUUUGCCUCUGGUUGUCUGGAAGCCUUAUCUGUAUUCAGUUCUGACUGGAGACUUUAAGACUAUGUUUGACUGGUUCAGGGAGAACCCUCUGGAAGAGUAUCUUGACUUGGUAUAUCCUCAUAUUGAGUAUCCUCCAGAAGAAGAAGCUGAAGAAGAGCAACAAGCUGAACAACAUCAUGCUGAAGAGAUUCAAGCUCAAGAGAUUCCUGUUGAAGAGGAACCAAUUGCUGAAAAUCAAAUGAUUCAAGCUUCUGAUAUUCCUACUUCUUCUGCUGGUCCUUCUACAUCUGUUCUGUUUGAAACUCUAAAGGAACUCCAACAGAAUCAAGCUUCCUUAGCUAGUUGUCUGGGCAAGCAAGAUGACACCAAUGAGAAAUUCAGAACUUGGAUGCAGAGACAGGAAGAUUCCUCCAAGAAGUAAGCUGAAGACACUGCUGAGAUUAAGAACCUUCUAGCAGCUUUAGCCUCUAAGCUUAACCAGUCGUAGUCUGUGUCUUGUGUCUUACUUAGUUUUCUUUGUUUUUGCAUAUGCUUUGUUGCAUAUGCUUUGUACUCCCUUCUAAUUAAUCAAUGAAAUAUAUUUAUUUCUUCACUUUUGUAUCUUUCAUCUGAAUCUUUUAAACUUUUUGAUGUUAUGACAAAAGGGGGAGAAACAUGCUAAUUGAAUUGAUUUAUAAUAUCAGUUGUUGGGCUUAAGUUUCAACAGUCCUAACAAAUAUAUUGCAAGUUUUCUGUCUCUAAUAGUUUUGCAGGAAUGUGAUACUCUGAACAAGCUCAAUAUGGGGAGAAGCAAAUAUGGGAAAAGCAUAUCUGAAGAAAAUCUCUCAAAGAGUUGAAGCAAUCAAGCUUAAUGUUUUGAUACAUAAAGUUUCAAGCUUUGAUACAAGCUAUGUUUUAAAGUGCUCUGAUACAAACUUUGCUCUGAUUGCUCUGACACAAGAAGUUUCAAGAUCAGAAAGAAGCUUUGCUCUUAUAUAAGAAAUUUUAUGCUCUGAUACAAGAAGCUAUGAAGCUCUGAUAUAAGCAAGCCUUCUUGAUGUUCAGAUAAGCCAAAGUGAUCUCAAAGAGAAAUUCAACUGAAUUAAUCUGAAGUUUAAAGUUCAACGUGAAAGUCUCAACUGAAAUGGAAAAAUACUCAGGGAAGUUUUUUAUUUAUAAAAUCUUCUAGUAUUAAUUUCAGGGGGAGAUUGUUAAUCUUAGGGGGAGACAUAUUCACACACUCUGAUUAAUAUGCUUUAUGCUAUAUCUGUGUAUUGUCUUUUUCAUCUGAUAUUCUGGAUACAAAUUCAUAUAAAUUCUGUAUGUUUUUGUCAUCAUCAAAAGGGGGAGUUUGUUAGAACAAGAAAUGUUCUGAUCAAUAUUCUUAGUUUUGAUGAUAAUAUUAUAUAUGAAUUUUGUAUAAGAGAAUAUGGUACUCUCAUUAUUCACGUUUUCCAUUUCAGGAAAAGUAUAAAAGAGUAUGCAUAAAUCAGCGUUCAGAAGAAGGGUAAUAUUGAAUGAUUUUAUUGCUUAUGACUUUCAUAUGGUUCCAUAAAAUCUUCAAAAUCUUACCAUUCCUAUCAGUCAAGUACCUUCCUCUGCUACAACCUCUGCGUCCCCAUCAAGGAAUAAAAAGAGAAAGCAUUCUUAGAAAUCUUCUUGCGAAGGGCCUUCUAAGAAGAGCAAGGUUUGUCGUUGUGCUAAGAAAAAUUUGGAAACCAUUCCACAAGCUAGGUUGCCAUAACUUCUAUACCAACCAAGGUUGCCAUAUCCUCUAUACCAACCAAGGUUGCCAUAACUUCUAUACCAACCAAGGUUGCCAUAUCCUCUAUACCAACCAAGGUUGCCAUAACUUCUUAUGCAUCAAGGACUCUGGAACUUGUUCAGGGUUCUGAAACUGCUACUUCUUCCACUGUAAGUAUGUAUACUUCUAGUAUCUCUUUACUUGCAUUCGUUUUUAAUAAUUCAUCUUCAACCACUUCAACUUCAUCACCACCUCCACCUCCUGUUUCCACGUUUAGAACAGUGACUGCUCCCCCCAAGAAAAAUCCAAAUCCCACAUAAGUUCCUACUUCUGAACAACCUCUACCACACCCUUCAUCUCAACUAUUGGUUUCUCUCCCUCUACAAACACACUCCAUUUUCUCAUAAUUCAAUCCUACUAUAACCACCCUUGCAGAAUCAUCCCACACACUCAUUCCCUCUACACUCCUAACCCAACUAACCUCUUCUGAAAAACCACCCUCACCACAACCCUCAGAAACCUCAACUCAAUUAAAAACUAACCUCCCCCUAAUUUCCUUUGUUGAUUGUAACACCCUUCUAAACCCUCGCAAAAUAUUAAAUAAAUUCAGAUUAAAAACAUGUACAAGGAUGUUACAACUCCAAAAGAAAUAAAAUAUCAAAUCAUUUUUCAUGCCCUUUCAAGGAACAAAAUUGCAAUUUAUUCACUAAACCAUGUUUAACACAGCGGAAAAUAAUUUUUAAGACUGAAUAACGUAAACCAUCAGUUAUCAAUACCAAAUCACCUGUUCAAAAUAAAUUGAACAUAAUCCAAACUAAUUAAAAUAAGAGUUUAACAAUUAACUCUAAAAUAAGCAUUCCCCGGUGUUACAAGACCAGAGCAUGACAUUGACGCGAAAACUAAACGGACUAGCCUACAAGCUAUCCUCACCGAGCACAACCGCUGCUACUCCUCAAUCUGAAAAUAAUCAACAAUAAAUGUGAGACAUAUCACAAUUAAAUUAUAUUAUAAGUUCAUAACGACAAAACAUCAUAAGCAUAUUAUUCACCCAACUACAACAUAUUUAGAUUUUCAGAAUUAUUCACCAACAGUUAUAAAAAUUCAAUCAAACUCAUCACUACGAAAUAACACUGGAAAUCUUCCAAUCAUGUUAUAACAACACAUAUAAAAUGCAACGAAUAUAUGCAUGUGUGUCAUACCCCAAUUUUUGACCUAAGAUACCACCUCAUAUCAUAGCAUAUGCAUCAUUUGCAUCUCUAACAAAUUGCAUAGCUUGUGUUUGUUACUUGUGGCUCAGCGGGAUUUAAUCAGGAAAUCACUCAUCAGUACAAGUAAUAAUCAAUUAGGGUUUUGUUCUUUCUUCAUUUCAAAUGAAUCAUCUUCAUCAACAAUCAACAUUUGGUCAUCAAAGAUUCAUUUCAACAAGCUCAAAAGCUCUGAACCAACCAGAUUAGGGUUUUGACUGAAGACAUCAUACUCUUGACUUUUGCUCAGAAUUUGACCUAAUGACUUGGGACAUGACCUCAAGACCCCAAGUGCAUCAUUUUGACCUAAUCCAUUGGCUUAGAACAUCUCCUAUACAAAGAUUGAUCAGACAAAUCCUCAGAUCAGGGUUUUUGAACUAUCAGGGACUGAAAUCAGGGAUCACAUUUGGGAAACCCUAAAAAUCCCCAGGGAGUCAAUCAAAGGUUUCAAUCAUCCUCAAAUAAUCCCUAUGACAAUAUACAAUGGAAAUUGUAUCUCAAUUCAAGGUCCACAGUCAUCAAUUUCAUCUGGUCGACAAUUAGGGUUUUUGACCUAAUUCACUGAACAACUGACUUUUUAAUCAGGACAUGGUGCCACAACUCAAAUCAUGGCUCAAUAUCCUCUAAUGCUUCAAUGUAAUCCAUUCAUACUAUUCAUUUGAUGAGGAUAUCCUGUUUCAUUUGAAAUCUCCAGAAACGCGAUUCGUCUGAAAAGUCAACUGUACAAGAUCACCAUUGACUUUUGGGGAACUUUGGUCAACCAUGACUUUUGAAGUUUUAAAUCAUCAAUAUAUGAUAUGAGAAGUCAUUUGAUCAAUGAAAAUCAAGAAAAUCAAUCAAGAAUCAAAAGUCAAAAGUUUGACUUUUCAUACUUAGAAAAAUUUCUAAGUGUUUUUCAUGGUUUUUUCCAAACUUUGGAAGGGAAUUUCUCAAAAUUUCACCUACAAACUGAAAAAAACUUCCAACAUGAAAGUUGUAGAUUUUGAUCCAAUAAACAACUUUGACACAUAAAUUUUUUUCAAAAGAUCAACCAUUUAAGAGAUAUGGUGCUCCAAAGUUGGUACUUUUUGAAAACUUCACUUGAAAUCUCAUUUUCUUCAAAGUUCAUGGAUCUUUUUCACCCACUUCCUUAAAGAUCUUGAAGAAACUUUCAACUAGGGUUUUGAAGUGUGUAAUAUGAGCUUUCCAAAAUGUCCAAGAGCAUGAAAAAAUAUGGAGUGUAGCUAUGGUUUUGAAUUUUGCCAUUAGUGAACUUUUCACUUGAAAUUUCAAGUCAUUUUGCCAAAGUUAUGAACCAAAUUGCCAAAUGGACCAAGUAAUGAUGCAUAGAGGCAAUAAUUGGAGAUAUUUUUCUGAUUUGAGACAGAUGGGAAAGAGAUAAGAAGCAUAGCCAAUUUUAACCAUGGUUUAGUAACUUUAACCAUAUGCAUUUAAUGGUAAGAUUCCUUUCUAUCCCUUAAGUGCCAAAUCACCAAAGAAGAAGCAACUUGCAAGAGCCUUGUAUUCAGAAUCCAUGGCCUAUAAAUAGAGGUCCAAACCUCAUUCAAAAACACACCAAAACCUCACAAUUAUAGGUUUUCUCUCUUCUUUCUUAAGUUACAAGUUUCAUGAGUUUCAAAGAGGGAGAAUUGCAAUUUCCAUCUCUUGCAAUUUCUAAGCAAAGUGAGGGUUCUAACAUCCCAUAAACAUCAAAUGUGAAGUGUUUGAUCCAUCCACACACCCCAAAAACACUCAGAACUCAAAAUCACUACCUCACCUCCAUAUGAACACAUAAUGAGCCUUAUCAUGCCAAUUUUCAUUCUAGCUCAUUUCUGUCCAAGUUAAACAUCCAAACACAUUCCAUAUACCAUAUAUGAGCUAUCCCAACCAUCAUCCAUGAUCUGAAACACCUCCAUCUUCAAAUUCGAUUCACUCUUGAAGCUUAUGCAGGUCGGGUACCAUGGCCAUGCCCAGAUGAAUUCAGAUGGUUCCAAGCAUCCAGACACCUUCCAUAAUCAUCAUUGAAGCUAUCCAGAUCAUCACAAAGCAUCUGUAACACCUCCAGAUCAGAAUUCAAUUCUCAGUUGGCCGUUUUUGAAGACUCCAAGUCACCAUCUGCUAUGAUAGCUAGCUUGACUCUAAGAUGACGAACCAAGCAAUCAGAUUCAGACUCUUAAGAGAUUGUGCAAUUCAAACUUCAUCCUCCAAUUGAUCUUUUGAUGCCUAUAUAAUAAAGACUUUGAAGAUUGCAAGAUUGACGAACAACUGAACGAAAUUUUAAAUGCGCUGAAACUCUGCUCAUUUCUA